Molecule: long non-coding RNA, 355 nt
Filed under: Homo sapiens (human)
Lineage: Eukaryota; Metazoa; Chordata; Mammalia; Primates; Hominidae
Description: HSALNT0374096
Source: RNAcentral
GCAAGAAGGCAACCAUGAGCAAGCCAAGAAGAGAGCCCUCAAGGGGGAACCAAAAGGCUGGCUGGUACCUUGAUCUUGGGGUUUCCAGCCUCCAGAAUGAAUCCUCUGGAAACACUAUGGAGUGAUGGAGAAAGCACCAUCUGGGGAGUCAGAUGACCUGCUCUCUAUCCCAGCUCAUCAGGGAGUCUCUGAGACAAACACUUACCAGAGCCACUCUUGAUGAUAGAAUUGGUGAUGUGACAGCCACCAAAGGAAUGUGACACAAAGUAGAAAUGAGACCUGAGAUGUGGCCUGGACCUUUACCAUGGAAAUGCCCAUAAAUUGCGUCCCUAUUCCUUAAGAUUUUAUUUAAAGU